UGAGCAAUCUGCCCUUCUCUUCGGAAUAAGCGUGGGAAACCGCGUCUAAUGCCGAAUACGACCUCCUUUCGCAUGAUCGGAGGUGGAAAGCUCCGGCGGAGAAGGAUGAGCUCGCGGCCUAUCAGCUUGUUGGUGAGGUAAUGGCUCACCAAGGCGACGACGGGUAGCCGGCCUGAGAGGGUGACCGGCCACACUGGGACUGAGACACGGCCCAGACUCCGUACGGGAGCAG
This 232-nucleotide ribosomal RNA is filed under the name uncultured bacterium. RNAcentral's name for it is "partial 16S ribosomal RNA". It matches the Rfam family "Bacterial small subunit ribosomal RNA", at positions 118 to 347 of the family's 1533-position model. The record is from RNAcentral.